Long non-coding RNA from Cyprinodon tularosa, 409 nucleotides. RefSeq lists it as uncharacterized. NCBI's taxonomy places the organism in Eukaryota, Metazoa, Chordata, Actinopteri, Cyprinodontiformes, Cyprinodontidae. The transcript has 4 exons. The record is from RefSeq and is a predicted model, not a curated record.
UGGGCCUCCCCAGUCGGUUAUCAUCACAAAGGGAAGCCCAAACUUAAUCCACUAACAAGGUUGGUCAAAGGACAGGCACCAGGUGUGGGAAGUCACUUAAAGGGAGCAACCGGUUGGCGUUGUGUUUACAGCAUAUAUGAAGCGGCAUCCUGGAACCAACCGGGCAGCACAGACGAAGAGGCGCUGCAGUGAAUUCCCAUGUUGCUCUGUGGAAUGCUGCACAGCAGCUGAGGACUCCAGGAACUCCCACCUGACUCCAGUGUCUGCUCACUACCGCUUCAUAUGUGACAGACACAUCUGGAUACGCAGCCCUACUUCUGCCCGGGGGACCAUCGCAGCCCAAAGAAGGGAAGAAUCUGAUCAUGCAACAUAAAAUGCAACUGCAGCAAAAAAGUAAGAAGAGGAAUUG